GGGGCUAUAGCUCAGUGGUAGAGUUCUUACAUGGCAUGUAAGAGGUCAGCGGUUCAAAUCCGCUUAGCUCCA
This 72-nucleotide transfer RNA is filed under the name Candidatus Ishikawaella capsulata Mpkobe. Its description in RNAcentral is "tRNA-Ala (GGC) (tRNA-Ala-GGC-1-1)". It matches the Rfam family "tRNA". Rfam says of the family: Transfer RNA (tRNA) molecules are approximately 80 nucleotides in length. Their secondary structure includes four short double-helical elements and three loops (D, anti-codon, and T loops). The record is from Rfam by way of RNAcentral. Lineage: Bacteria; Pseudomonadati; Pseudomonadota; Gammaproteobacteria; Enterobacterales; Enterobacteriaceae.